RNAcentral lists this ribosomal RNA (211 nucleotides) under Solenopsis sp. 15 GR-2021. Its description in RNAcentral is "partial large subunit ribosomal RNA". The record is from RNAcentral. Lineage: Eukaryota; Metazoa; Arthropoda; Insecta; Hymenoptera; Formicidae.
GAAUUUUAUAUAUUUUUAUUUAAUAAAAUUUAUAUUGAAAUAAAUAAGAAGAUAUUUUAUUGGGAGGAUAGUUAAAUAUAAAAAACUUUAAUUAAAAUUGAAAUAUAAAUUAAUAAAUUUAAGAAUGAUUAAAUAAAUUAAUUAAAAAUUAAUUACCUUAGGGAUAACAGCGUAAUAUUUUUGGAGAGUUCAUAUUAAUAAAAAUGUUUGC